Molecule: ribosomal RNA, 463 nt
Filed under: uncultured bacterium
Lineage: Bacteria
Description: partial 16S ribosomal RNA
Rfam family: Bacterial small subunit ribosomal RNA
Source: RNAcentral
ACGAACGCUGGCGGCGUGCUUAACACCUGCAAGUCGAGCGGAAAGGCCACUUCGGUGGUACUCGAGCGGCGAACGGGUGAGUAACACGUGAGUAAUCUGCCCUUGGCUUUGGGAUAGCCACCGGAAACGGUGAUUAAUACCGGAUACGACCACUCCAGGCAUCUGGUGGUGGUGGAAAGUUUUUCGGCCAGGGAUGUGCUCGCGGCCUAUCAGCUUGAUGGUGAGGUAAUGGCUCACCAUGGCUUCGACGGGUAGCCGGCCUGAGAGGGUGACCGGUCACACUGGGACUGAGACACGGCCCAGACUCCUACGGGAGGCAGCAGUGGGGAAUAUUGGACAAUGGGCGGAAGCCUGAUGCAGCAACGCCGCGUGCGGGAUGACGGCCUUCGGGUUGUAAACCGCUUUCGCCUGUGACGAAGCGUGAGUGACGGUAAUGGGUAAAGAAGCACCGGCUAACUACGUG